AGCGGCCACAAAACUCCUGUUCUUAGUGGCGAUAGAUAAGCGACAAUUGCGAUGAGCCGGACCAAGUACAAAAACUAUUAAGGUCGUUUACACUUGUGUCUACCUUUGCAGAUCCUCUCUCAAGCUCCUUUCAAGUUGAACAGUACUUGUAUUGUUAUUGUGUUCAUGUGCUAGAUUCUAAAGGAGUAAUAAGGCCCACCUCCUUUCUGUGGAAUGCAUCAAUACUCAUUGUCAGUCCGGUGCUACCUUGUGCACGUCUGACUGUUCAAAACCUGGUUUAGUCGGUGGACUAUAAAGCAUAACCUGUGCCCCAACGAUUUCCAUUUUUCCAGAACAAACAAUUCUUGAACUUUUGUACUACUUGACUUCGAAAAAUGUCCUAAUCCCACACCGUGAAGCAUGCCGCAUCCCGAAGGCUGAAACAAACUCCACCUCCUGCGUCCAGCCAGUAGCAAUGGGUGCGUGAACUGCGCACUGGGUGCAACUAGUGGACUUCGCAAGUUCGAUGCCAUCACAAAGCGCAUUCUUUCACAAAAAUACUUCUUAACAUUACAUUCUUUAACACUCUCUUUCUUAUAAUGCAUAUUUAGAUGUGUUUGUUAUAGACUACAAGGGCGGAAUAUUGACGCUACCAUCAACAUCCACGACAUUUCCCAUUUCAACCCAUGCGGGUGUUUUACCUACGAAUGAAGGGUUGAAAGCAUCAACAAACAAAAUCCUGGAGACAGUUAUUUGGAGCGCCGCUACUUCAGUGGAAAUCACAACAGAAACGACAUUUUCUAAGACCCCACGCGGACACGCACAUCCUGCAUCGCGAGAUUCAUCAACAACCAACACCAGCCCGAUGCCUGUUAGUUUGGUGCCACAUGCUAGAGCAGUGAUUUCGACCAAACUUCAAGGCGGCAAUACACCUUCUGUGUCUGGUGUAACAACUAUCCAUCGGUCUCCGUCUACUAUGAAGAUGUCCCCUCAAUUUACGAAGGAAAGGGAGACGCUCGCUUUCUCUAGCCCAGUGACUAUUGAACGGCCUACAAACUUUUCCCACGUCGAGCCCUCUGAAGAAGACUCUUCAGCACUCGGACAGGCAGCUAUAAUCGGAAUUUCCGCGUCUGCUGGGACAAUCCUGGUUAUAUCUGUGAUAUGUUCAGUGUUGUGGAGAUCCAGAAUGACAACCAGACGGUCUGGGUCCAAUGAUAGUUCUGAUAAAGAGCAUCAAUACAGUAGCAAGGCGGCAGAGGGAACUGGCAUAUACGAAACAGUGAUUGGCGAGCGGCUUGAUCAGACGGAUUUGCGAAUACCUGUAGAGCAAUCAAACGAAGCUACCGUUACUAUGUACGAGAGCACAGCUUACAUGAGCACUACGAGAGCAUCCUGGCAACUCACCUCGAAUGACGCCUACGGAGCGACAUCAGACACGUUCAAGUAAGAUGGUGAAAGGCGUUAUAUUUGGAUUGGAUUGGUUUUACGCUUCACAUGAAGAUCUGUCGCAUCGGAACUACUCAUCUUCGGGGGCCCCAUACCAAAACAAGAUCAUAUUAAACGAGAUGGUUCUGUCGUUCUAUUCUGGCAAAUGCGAGUGUAGAUUAGACCAAGAACAGCAGAAAACACUGAAAUACCCAAUUUAAGUCUAGGAUCACGAGGUCGCGAAGCCCCAAAAGAUAAAAAAAAAAAAAAAGUUCACUUUUCUUCGAUGUCUGAUCUUGUCUCGUACUUUAUGCGUCACAUUCAUUAUCUGGGACGACUGGCUAUGUUUGCAUGCCUUCCCUGGGAACAACACCGCACUCGGUGAGGGCGAUUUCUCGCUGGUCCUCAUUUUUGAACUGCUAAUAAUGUAGGCAUUAUCCUAUCCACGUUACAUGCCCACUUACCUUUCCACUUUCCCCAUUUUUUGAAUGAAAUAUUAUCUUUCCAGAAUUGGCAGUUUGAGCCACAUAAAGCGUCCAGUUUUUCAUAGUUCGCUUGCAAGUCAGUUGCACACCUUCUGUAAAAAUAUAAUUCACUUCCAAACUAUCCUUUUUGUCUUCCACAGACUUUACAAGAAGUAGCUUAACUUGGCCAUGCCUCCUUUCUAUGGUAAUAAUUAUAACACACGAUAAGGCAGGAUUAUAAGAUCAUUGUGCACUGCACUUACACCAAGUACUACACUUUAUCACUUUCUUUGUUUUGACUCCCAUUGAUUAUCGCUAUACCUAAGAAGUCAAUUAUUCC
This is a long non-coding RNA of Sycon ciliatum, 2208 nucleotides long. RefSeq lists it as uncharacterized. The transcript has 3 exons. Lineage: Eukaryota; Metazoa; Porifera; Calcarea; Leucosolenida; Sycettidae. The record is from RefSeq and is a predicted model, not a curated record.